This 506-nucleotide ribosomal RNA is filed under the name Ceratocapsus sp. WCW-2003i. RNAcentral describes it as "partial 16S ribosomal RNA". The stretch from base 380 to 506 matches the Rfam family "Bacterial large subunit ribosomal RNA", at positions 2473 to 2600 of the family's 2925-position model. Lineage: Eukaryota; Metazoa; Arthropoda; Insecta; Hemiptera; Miridae. The record is from RNAcentral.
GUUCUUUUGUUUAUAUAAAAGAUUUGACCUGCCCAAUGAUUUAUUUAAUGGCUGCAGUAUUCUAACUGUACAAAGGUAGCAUAAUCAUUUGUCUUUUAAUUGAGGUCUAGAAUGAAUGGUUUGAUGAAAAAUAUACUUUCUUUUUUUUAUAAGAAAAAGUUAAUUUUUAAGUUAAAAAGCUUAAAUAUAGCUAUAGGACGAGAAGACCCUAUAGAACUUUAUUUUUAUUUUUAUAUUUAUAAUAUAGAUUAUAAUUUAUUUAUAUAUUUAUUAAAUUGUAUUGGGGUGAUAGAAAAAAAUUAAUAACUUUUUUUAUUAUUUUCAUUUAUUUAUGAAUUUUUGAUCCUUUUUUAGGGAAAAAAGAUUAAGUUACCUUAGGGAUAACAGCGUUAUUAUCUUGGAGAGUUCUUAUCGAUAAGAUAGUUUGCGACCUCGAUGUUGGAUUAUAAUUAAUAAUAGGAGUAUAAUAUUAUAUAUUAGGUCUGUUCGACCUUUAAAUUUUUACA